This 550-nucleotide ribosomal RNA is filed under the name uncultured bacterium. RNAcentral's name for it is "bacterial SSU rRNA". It matches the Rfam family "Bacterial small subunit ribosomal RNA", at positions 355 to 896 of the family's 1533-position model. The record is from RNAcentral.
UAGGGAAUCUUCGGCAAUGGACGGAAGUCUGACCGAGCAACGCCGCGUGAGUGAAGAAGGUUUUCGGAUCGUAAAGCUCUGUUGUAAGAGAAGAACGAGUGUGAGAGUGGAAAGUUCACACUGUGACGGUAUCUUACCAGAAAGGGACGGCUAACUACGUGCCAGCAGCCGCGGUAAUACGUAGGUCCCGAGCGUUGUCCGGAUUUAUUGGGCGUAAAGCGAGCGCAGGCGGUUAGAUAAGUCUGAAGUUAAAGGCUGUGGCUUAACCAUAGUAGGCUUUGGAAACUGUUUAACUUGAGUGCAAGAGGGGAGAGUGGAAUUCCAUGUGUAGCGGUGAAAUGCGUAGAUAUAUGGAGGAACACCGGUGGCGAAAGCGGCUCUCUGGCUUGUAACUGACGCUGAGGCUCGAAAGCGUGGGGAGCAAACAGGAUUGGAUACCCUGGUAGUCCACGCUGUAAACGAUGAGUGCUAGGUGUUAGACCCUUUCCGGGGUUUAGUGCCGUAGCUAACGCAUUAAGCACUCCGCCUGGGGAGUACGACCGCAAGGUUG